Molecule: transfer RNA, 74 nt
Organism: Sphingomonas sp. Root241
Lineage: Bacteria; Pseudomonadati; Pseudomonadota; Alphaproteobacteria; Sphingomonadales; Sphingomonadaceae
Rfam family: tRNA
About the family: Transfer RNA (tRNA) molecules are approximately 80 nucleotides in length. Their secondary structure includes four short double-helical elements and three loops (D, anti-codon, and T loops). Further hydrogen bonds mediate the characteristic L-shaped molecular structure. tRNAs have two regions of fundamental functional importance: the anti-codon, which is responsible for specific mRNA codon recognition, and the 3' end, to which the tRNAs corresponding amino acid is attached (by aminoacyl-tRNA synthetases). tRNAs cope with the degeneracy of the genetic code in two manners: having more than one tRNA (with a specific anti-codon) for a particular amino acid; and 'wobble' base-pairing, i.e. permitting non-standard base-pairing at the 3rd anti-codon position.
Source: Rfam
GCGCCCGUAGCUCAGCUGGAUAGAGCACAUGCCUUCUAAGCCUGUGGUCGUUGGUUCGAAUCCAACCGGGCGCG